GAUGAACGCUGGCGGCGUGCCUAAUACAUGCAAGUCGAGCGAACGGACGAGAAGCUUGCUUUUCUGAUGUUAGCGGCGGACGGGUGAGUAACACGUGGAUAACCUACCUAUAAGACUGGGAUAACUUCGGGAAACCGGAGCUAAUACCGGAUAAUAUUUUGAACCGCAUGGUUCAAAAGUGAAAGACGGUCUUGCUGUCACUUAUAGAUGGAUCCGCGCUGCAUUAGCUAGUUGGUAAGGUAACGGCUUACCAAGGCAACGAUGUAUAGCCGACCUGAGAGGGUGAUCGGCCACACUGGAACUGAGACACGGUCCAGACUCUUACGGGAGGCAGCAGCAGGGAAUCUUCCGCAAUGGGCGAAAGCCUGACGGAGCAACGCCGCGUGAGUGAUGAAGGUCUUCGGAUCGUAAAACUCUGUUAUUAGGGAAGAACAUAUGUGUAAGUAACUGUGCACAUCUUGACGGUACCUAAUCAGAAAGCCACGGCUAACUACGUG
Molecule: ribosomal RNA, 497 nt
Filed under: uncultured bacterium
Lineage: Bacteria
Description: partial 16S ribosomal RNA
Rfam family: Bacterial small subunit ribosomal RNA
Source: RNAcentral